GUUACUCUGAUCCUUAUUCCAUUCUAUGUACCUCUCAUUGAAACUGUCACUGAUCUCUCAGGUCUACCUCCUUCUCUCUAUUUUUGACCGCCUCUGUUUUGGUUUCGUAAAGUUUCUUGACUAGAUGACUUCAAUAAUUAUUUAGCUCCUGGGUCAAGUUUUUCAGUCCUUUCUUUAAUAAACAUUGAUUGUAUUGCAUAUCUAGCAGGUGCCAGGUGCUAAGUGUGGACAUGAGAAGACAACAUGGAAUAAAGUGGGUCCUGGGCCUGGAGGAUCCCACCAGUACUGAGAGACCCAAAAGAGUGAGCCAGAACAUUAUUACUGAGGAAGUAAAUAAUUGUAUUGGGUAUUGAAGGCCCUGUUAAGAAUCAUAGCUAUCAGAGAAGCCAGAAGGGCAGAAGAAGAGUAAUUCAGAACCCUGAAGAACACCAGGGUUUAUGCUCUAAACAUCAUACCAUGUUGCAUAUGCUUGUUGACUUAUACAGGUAAAAAAGUACAAUCUGAGACCCAUUCUGACUAUGUGCCAACAGUUGGGAAUUGCCACAUACUCUUUCAAGCUUUCAUCAUUGAGGGGGAAGAAAAGCACUAGAAGUCAAUGACAAGGAUCCAACUACAGAGGAGGGAUGUUUGACAGAGAAUUAUUAUGUACAAGAGAAAAUGUUCAGGAGGCAACCUAUACUUUCAACAUAAUUUGGCUGUCUUUGAGGAGAGUGAACUGAUACAGACUUCAGAUCAUCUAUAAAAAAAGGAUUCGUCAACUAUAUGGCAUUUUCAUAAUGCAAACAAGUUGUGAACUGAAGAGUCAGACAAGCCAACUUAGAAGAAAGAAGAAAGGAGAAAAAUAAAAACAAAAAUAUACAGUAGACUUGACAGGGCCCAUUCCCAACUUGGAGACUUUGCCUGACAGAAAAGUUUGCAACAGAAAAAAUAUUCACAAUAGAACCCAAAGUGCACAUGAGAAUGCUGAAAAUGAGGAUCCAAUAUGCGUUG
Molecule: long non-coding RNA, 990 nt
Organism: Lynx canadensis (Canada lynx)
Lineage: Eukaryota; Metazoa; Chordata; Mammalia; Carnivora; Felidae
Exons: 9
Source: RefSeq, a predicted model, not a curated record